GACGAACGCUGGCGGCGUGCCUAAUACAUGCGAGUCGAACGAACCGCGACUAGGUGCUUGCACUUGGUCAAGGUGAGUGGCGAACGGGUGAGUAACACGUGGGUAACCUACCUCAUAGUGGGGGAUAACAGUCGGAAACGACUGCUAAUACCGCAUAGGACAUGGGAUCACAUGAUUCUGUGAGGAAAGGUGGCGCAAGCUAUCGCUAAGAGAUGGACCCGCGGUGCAUUAGCUAGUUGGUAGGGUAACGGCCUACCAAGGCGAUGAUGCAUAGCCGACCUGAGAGGGUGAUCGGCCACAUUGGGACUGAGACACGGCCCAAACUCCUACGGGAGGCAGCAGUAGGGAAUCUUCCGCAAUGGACGCAAGUCUGACGGAGCAACGCCGCGUGAGUGAAGAAGGUCUUCGGAUCGUAAAGCUCUGUUGUUAGAGAAGAACAGCGCAUAGAGUAACUGUUAUGCGUGUGACGGUAUCUAACCAGAAAGCCACGGCUAACUACGUG
RNAcentral lists this ribosomal RNA (502 nucleotides) under uncultured bacterium. Its description in RNAcentral is "partial 16S ribosomal RNA". It matches the Rfam family "Bacterial small subunit ribosomal RNA", at positions 28 to 507 of the family's 1533-position model. The record is from RNAcentral.